CGGCAACAGCUCAAAUUUGAAAUCUGGCUCUCGGGCCCGAGUUGUAAUUUGCAGAGGAUGCUUCGGGAGUGGCCCCCAUCUAAGUGCUCUGGAACGGGCCGUCAUAGAGGGUGAGAAUCCCGUAUGGGAUGGGGUGUCCGCGACCAUGUGAAGCUCCUUCGAC
RNAcentral lists this ribosomal RNA (163 nucleotides) under Penicillium sp. RNAcentral's name for it is "partial large subunit ribosomal RNA". It matches the Rfam family "Eukaryotic large subunit ribosomal RNA", at positions 99 to 261 of the family's 3401-position model. The record is from RNAcentral. Lineage: Eukaryota; Fungi; Ascomycota; Eurotiomycetes; Eurotiales; Aspergillaceae.